Molecule: small RNA, 107 nt
Filed under: Marmota monax (woodchuck)
Lineage: Eukaryota; Metazoa; Chordata; Mammalia; Rodentia; Sciuridae
Source: RNAcentral
GCUGGGUGUGGUGGUGCUGUCCUGUAAUCCCAGCCACUCUGGUGGCAGAGGUAGGAGGAUUGCAAGUUUUAGGCCAGAUGCAGCAACUUAGUAAGAUCCUGUCUCAA